GAGGUAAUAGAGAUUAAAUCUCUCUUUUUUCUAUUCAAUUAGAUUCUCUUAUGAUGUGUAGGGGUGCUAUUGUAACUAAAUCCUAUAAAGUUGAAUGCAAAAAGAAAGCUUUACUUUUCUGCAAAAUCCUAGGAUUAUGUAUGUGAUACAUUGUAGGAAAAGUAGUUGCAUCUAAUCUUUGCAAAUAAAAUCUAAAAUCAUAAACAUAUUUAGAAUAG
This 218-nucleotide long non-coding RNA is filed under the name Elaeis guineensis (African oil palm). Its description in RNAcentral is "long non-coding RNA (EGUI_LNC075296)". Lineage: Eukaryota; Viridiplantae; Streptophyta; Magnoliopsida; Arecales; Arecaceae. The record is from RNAcentral.